This 545-nucleotide long non-coding RNA is filed under the name Brassica napus (rape). RNAcentral describes it as "long non-coding RNA (BNAP_LNC014232)". Lineage: Eukaryota; Viridiplantae; Streptophyta; Magnoliopsida; Brassicales; Brassicaceae. The record is from RNAcentral.
AAUCUCAUACCUAUGAGAUUUAUUCAACUUCCUGGUGAUUCUCCACCACUUUAUGUAUCCAAAUCAAGCUUCUCACAAAGUGAUUCAUCCAGGUUUGAUUGGAACGACGAAGAAGCUGUGCUAUUCCCAAACUGGGAAACUGGAAUCACCUGAUUUGAAAGUGGAAUAACUUCUUCAUGCCAACUCCUAUGAGAUUUAUUAAACUUCCUGGUGAUUCUCCACCUCUUUAUGUAUCCAAAUCAAGCUUCUGACAAAGUGAUUCAUCCUGUGUUGAUUAGAACGACGAAGAAGCUGUGCUAUUCCCAAACUGGGAAACUGGUGGUGAUUCUCCACCACUUUAUGUAUCCAAAUCAAACUUAUUACAAAGUGAUUCAUCCUUUUUUGAUUAGAACGACGAAGAAGCUGUGCUAUUCCUAAACUGGGAAACUGUAAUCACCUGAUUUGAAAGUGGGAUAACUUCUUCAUGCCAACUCCUAUGAGAUUUAUUCAACUUCCUGGUGAUUCUCCACCACUUUAUGUAUCCAAAUCAAGCUUCUUACAAAAUG